Molecule: ribosomal RNA, 373 nt
Filed under: uncultured organism
Description: partial 16S ribosomal RNA
Rfam family: Bacterial small subunit ribosomal RNA
Source: RNAcentral
GUAGGUGGCAAGCGUUGUCCAGAAUUAUUGGGCGCAAAGCGCGCGCAGGCGGUUCUUUAAGUCCGAUGUGAAAGCCCACGGCUCAACCGUGGAGGGUCAUUGGAAACUGGAGAACUUGAGUACAGAAGAGGAAAGCGGAAUUCCACGUGUAGCGGUGAAAUGCGUAGAGAUGUGGAGGAACACCAGUGGCGAAGGCGGCUUUCUGGUCUGUAACUGACGCUGAGGCGCGAAAGCGUGGGGAGCAAACAGGAUUAGAUACCCUGGUAGUCCACGCCGUAAACGAUGAGUGCUAAGUGUUAGGGGGGUUUCCGCCCCCCUUAGUGCUGCAGCUAACGCAUUAAGCACUCCGCCUGGGAGUACGGCCGCAAGGCUG